RNAcentral lists this ribosomal RNA (497 nucleotides) under uncultured bacterium. RNAcentral describes it as "partial 16S ribosomal RNA". It matches the Rfam family "Bacterial small subunit ribosomal RNA", at positions 28 to 507 of the family's 1533-position model. The record is from RNAcentral.
GAUGAACGCUGGCGGCGUGCCUAAUACAUGCAAGUCGAGCGAACAGACGAGAAGCUUGCUCCUCUGACGUUAGCGGCGGACGGGUGAGUAACACGUGGAUAACCUACCUAUAAGACUGGGAUAACUUCGGGAAACCGGAGCUAAUACCGGAUAAUAUAUUGAACCGCAUGGUUCAAUAGUGAAAGACGGUUUUGCUGUCACUUAUAGAUGGAUCCGCGCUGCAUUAGCUAGUUGGUAAGGUAACGGCUUACCAAGGCAACGAUGCGUAGCCGACCUGAGAGGGUGAUCGGCCACACUGGAACUGAGACACGGUCCAGACUCCUACGGGAGGCAGCAGUAGGGAAUCUUCCGCAAUGGGCGAAAGCCUGACGGAGCAACGCCGCGUGAGUGAUGAAGGUCUUCGGAUCGUAAAACUCUGUUAUUAGGGAAGAACAAAUGUGUAAGUAACUGUGCACGUCUUGACGGUACCUAAUCAGAAAGCCACGGCUAACUACGUG